GCUACCACAUCUACGGAAGGCAGCAGGCGCGUAAAUUACCCAAUCCUGAUUCAGGGAGGUAGUGACAAGAAAUAACAACUCGGGGCCUCACGGCUUACGAGAUUGCAAUGAGAACAAUUUAAAUCUCUUAGCGAGGAACAAUUGGAGGGCAAGUCUGGUGCCAGCAGCCGCGGUAAUUCCAGCUCCAAUAGCGUAUAUUAAAGUUGUUGCAGUUAAAAAGCUCGUAGUUGAAUUUCUGAUUAUGGAUGUAGCGGUUUCCGUUACAUUUGUAGUCAUCCACAUGAGAACCUUUCUCGGCCUUCACUGGUCGGUUGGGGGAUCAUGUACUUUACUUUGAAAAAAUCAGAGUGUUUCAGGCAGGCGUUUGCAUGAAUACACAAGCAUGGAAUAAUGGAAUAGGACUAGGGUCCAUUUUAUUGGUUAUUGGACCAUAGUAAUGAUUAAUAGGGACAGUUGGGGG
This 460-nucleotide ribosomal RNA is filed under the name uncultured eukaryote. RNAcentral describes it as "SSU rRNA". It matches the Rfam family "Eukaryotic small subunit ribosomal RNA", at positions 406 to 888 of the family's 1831-position model. The record is from RNAcentral.